GGUGUAAUUCCGGCGGAUUUGUUUACUUCACUUCAUGAUUUGCGUAAUUUGUACCUUCAAAAUAAUCUAUUUUCCGGUCCGAUUCCUGAUUCAAUCUUCUCUCUUACCAAUCUUGUCCGGCUUAAUCUUGCUCAUAACAAUUUCUCCGGUUCAAUCCCGGAAUCUUUCAACAAUUUGACUAGUUUGGGUACACUUUACUUGCA
Molecule: unclassified non-coding RNA, 203 nt
Filed under: Hevea brasiliensis (rubber tree)
Lineage: Eukaryota; Viridiplantae; Streptophyta; Magnoliopsida; Malpighiales; Euphorbiaceae
Source: RNAcentral